Molecule: non-coding RNA, 210 nt
Organism: Pelobates cultripes (western spadefoot toad)
Lineage: Eukaryota; Metazoa; Chordata; Amphibia; Anura; Pelobatidae
Source: the annotation of a GenBank genome assembly
UAUGCACCUAAUUCUGGAAAAUCAGGGCUGUUCUUAAAUAAUUGAAAUGAUGUGGGGUCGGUGAAUCCUUAAAAAUUCCCCUUUAAGCAUCAAAAACCACCUCAGAGAUUGCGGCAGAAAAAAGCUGGGUAAGUGACUAAAAUUAUUGAACUUACCUAAAUAUAUGCAAAGGAAUAGAGUAUAACGUUUUGUUUUGGCUUGGUAUUGCUU